GCUGGCGACCGGCGCACGGGUGAGUAACACGUAUCCAACCUGCCCUUUACUCGGGGAUAGCCUUUCGAAAGAAAGAUUAAUACCCGAUAGCAUAAUGAUUCCGCAUGGUUUCAUUAUUAAAGGAUUCCGGUAAAGGAUGGGGAUGCGUUCCAUUAGGUUGUUGGUGAGGUAACGGCUCACCAAGCCUUCGAUGGAUAGGGGUUCUGAGAGGAAGGUCCCCCACAUUGGAACUGAGACACGGUCCAAACUCCUACGGGGGAGGCAGCAGUGAGGAAUAUUGGUCAAUGGGCGYUAGCCUGAACCAGCCAAGUAGCGUGAAGGAUGAAGGCUCUAUGGGUCGUAAACUUCUUUUAUAUAAGAAUAAAGUGCAGUAUGUAUACUGUUUUGUAUGUAUUAUAUGAAUAAGGAUCGGCUAACUCCGUGCCAGCAGCCGCGGUAAUACGGAGGAUCCGAGCGUUAUCCGGAUUUAUUGGGUUUAAAGGGAGCGUAGGUGGACUGGUAAGUCAGUUGUGAAAGUUUGCGGCUCAACCGUAAAAUUGCAGUUGAUACUGUCAGUCUUGAGUACAGUAGAGGUGGGCGGAAUUCGUGGUGUAGCGGUGAAAUGCUUAGAUAUCACGAAGAACUCCGAUU
Molecule: ribosomal RNA, 630 nt
Filed under: uncultured Bacteroidales bacterium
Lineage: Bacteria; Pseudomonadati; Bacteroidota; Bacteroidia; Bacteroidales
Description: bacterial SSU rRNA
Rfam family: Bacterial small subunit ribosomal RNA
Source: RNAcentral